Molecule: ribosomal RNA, 500 nt
Filed under: uncultured bacterium
Lineage: Bacteria
Description: partial 16S ribosomal RNA
Rfam family: Bacterial small subunit ribosomal RNA
Source: RNAcentral
AUUGAACGCUGGCGGCAUGCCUUACACAUGCAAGUCGAACGGCAGCGCGGGAGCAAUCCUGGCGGCGAGUGGCGAACGGGUGAGUAAUAUAUCGGAACGUGCCCAUUAGUGGGGGAUAGCCCGGCGAAAGCCGGAUUAAUACCGCAUACGACCUGAGGGUGAAAGCGGGGGAUCGCAAGACCUCGCGCUAUUGGAGCGGCCGAUAUCAGAUUAGCUAGUUGGUGGGGUAAAGGCCUACCAAGGCAACGAUCUGUAGUUGGUCUGAGAGGACGACCAGCCACACUGGGACUGAGACACGGCCCAGACUCCUACGGGAGGCAGCAGUGGGGAAUUUUGGACAAUGGGUGCAAGCCUGAUCCAGCAAUGCCGCGUGCAGGAAGAAGGCCUUCGGGUUGUAAACUGCUUUUGUCAGGGAAGAAAUCCUUUGGGCUAAUACCUCGGAGGGAUGACGGUACCUGAAGAAUAAGCACCGGCUAACUACGUGCCAGCAGCCGCGGUAA